AAAAGGUCAAAGGUCAACUUUAACAUUAAAAGGUGUUCAAACAAGUACAAGAUAUUUACAAUAAACAGACCUCAGUGCAAGAAAGUGUCUUUCCAACACUGAAAAGGUCAAAGGUCAACUUUAACAUUAAAAGGUGGUCAAACAAGUACAAGAUAUUUACAAUAAGCAGACCUCAGUGCAAGAAAGUGUCUUUCCAACACUGAAAAGGUCAAAGGUCAACUUUAACAUUAAAAGGUGGUCAAACAAGUACAAGAUAUUUACAAUAAGCAGACCUCAGUGCAAGAAAGUGUCUUUCCAACACUGAAAAGGUCAAAGGUCAACUUUAACAUUAAAAGGUGUAAAAACAAGUACAAGAUAUUUACAAUAAGCA
Long non-coding RNA from Oreochromis aureus, 370 nucleotides. Lineage: Eukaryota; Metazoa; Chordata; Actinopteri; Cichliformes; Cichlidae. The record is from Ensembl.